AAGUCGUAACAAGGUUUCCGUAGGUGAACCUGCGGAAGGAUCAUUACAAAAUACCAGCGCCGGCCCCCCGGGGUCGCGCGCUUCUAUUUACCCACCCUUUGCCUAUGUGUACCCCAAUCGCUUCCUCGGCAGGCUCGCCUGCCGCCAGGAACCACCCAAAACCCUUGCAUCUAUACAUGAAAACUUCUGAUACCAACCUAAAAUUAUUACAACUUUUAACAAUGGAUCUCUUGGUUCUG
Molecule: unclassified non-coding RNA, 239 nt
Filed under: Ascomycota sp.
Lineage: Eukaryota; Fungi; Ascomycota
Also listed under: 1 other name
Description: partial contains small subunit ribosomal RNA, internal transcribed spacer 1, and 5.8S ribosomal RNA
Rfam family: Eukaryotic small subunit ribosomal RNA (bases 1-46)
Source: RNAcentral